AAAACAUAUUCAGCCUUUGCUAUAUUCAGCACUCAGCAAAAGGCAAUCAAGGCAUUCGAAAAUAUUGACGGUGAACUGGAAAAGGACUCAUGUGGACGGCCACAAAAGCUUGUAAAGUUUGAGCUUGAUUCUGGAACAACUGGUUCAUUUUAUGUAUGUAAAAUUGUUGCUGACAAUUCUGUUGGCGAUGAACAAAGAAGAGGCCAGCAGAAAAUGACAGUCUUGGGACAGCGAAAAAGCCAAGAACAGAUGAAACUUUGGUACAGCUUGAGGAUUCUAAUAAAUGCUUGGAUCAUUGCGAAAUGCAUCUGAAAGAGAUCGUAAGAUUGGAGCAAGAGCUAAGUCAAAGAGAAACUGAAAUAUCGAGCUUGAAUAAAAUAAUUGCUGCACUUGCAAGGAAACAAGGACUCUAGAACAGUUCUAUGUUAAUGUCUGAGAGCAGGCUUGCUUUGGACAAAAUGGUGACAUCUAUUAACGAAAUAGGCGAUUUUACGAGGUCUGUGAUUGAUCUUGAAAGCCAUCGGCCCCUUCUGUGAGAAGCAUGGUGAAGAAAGGAGAAGGUAGCCUUGGUGACUAAUUCGCAUUUGCAGCCAGUCAAUGCUGCUUCUGUAUUUUUAGUAUCUUACAUUUUCUUUUCCUUAUUUGGAUUUUUUUCCAGUUCAUUGAGUUGCUGUAGUUUUGUUGAAGUCCUAUAAUAGGACUAAAAUUUUGAGUGAACAUUAACAUUUUGAGCCCUUAAAGCUUUAUUUGAAUUGUUUGUA
Long non-coding RNA from Salvia splendens (bonfire salvia), 761 nucleotides. RefSeq lists it as uncharacterized. The transcript has 2 exons. The record is from RefSeq and is a predicted model, not a curated record. Lineage: Eukaryota; Viridiplantae; Streptophyta; Magnoliopsida; Lamiales; Lamiaceae.